RNAcentral lists this long non-coding RNA (202 nucleotides) under Trifolium pratense (red clover). RNAcentral's name for it is "long non-coding RNA (TPRA_LNC012684)". The record is from RNAcentral. Lineage: Eukaryota; Viridiplantae; Streptophyta; Magnoliopsida; Fabales; Fabaceae.
AACAAAGAAGAAAAGGUUUUCCCAAAAAUUGCAAAAAAUUGUAAAAAGAAAAAAUGGCUUGUCAAUUUUUAAGGGCUUUUCUGUACAUAUAAAGAACCAAGUAGUUCUCUUAACUUCAUAAUUGGAAAAUUGCAAUCGGGAGGGGACGUACUAGAACCACUUGAUGACAUAACUGAUCUCCGAACUAGAAUAGGUGGUCUAG